RNAcentral lists this long non-coding RNA (8128 nucleotides) under Aquilegia coerulea. RNAcentral's name for it is "long non-coding RNA (ACOE_LNC002030)". Lineage: Eukaryota; Viridiplantae; Streptophyta; Magnoliopsida; Ranunculales; Ranunculaceae. The record is from RNAcentral.
CCUAUUCUCUGUUUGUAUGAUAUUUCACUAUUUCUGCCUCAUAUAUAUUAGUAUACCUUUACAAAUACAACUUCAAGUAUAUUAUUGUCCUUAUCAUAAGUUGUCUAUUUCCAGAGGAAAUGCUAAUGGAAACAUAUAAGGCUAUGGUGGGUGCUGCGCAGCAGUUUUGGUUUUUAGUCGUUUGGAAAAGCAUACGGAGGAUAAAAGUUCCCUUUCUUCUGUUUAAUUUUUUCUUUGAGAAAUUGCAAGGAACUUAUUUCUUGGUAAUGACUAUGUAUGAGCAAACUACUGUAACCACAAUUUACACAAAUCAAAAUCAAUUCCGGAAAGGUAUUGGAGCUUACAGUCUCACUUGGCGAUUUGCUCUUGGCACGGUCCUGUGUGUAAAAGGUCCCUGGCCAAAGCAUGAGUAGAAAAGGUGUCUUUGAAGUUUGAACAUUCUCGUGUCUUUUGCUUUCCUUGAGACAAUAAUUUUAGUAGUUGUUUUCUUGACUAAAGACACCUUAUCCUGUGGUACUUCUGUAUGAUUCCUUUUAUUGUACUAAUGUAUUGACCGUUUAACUAUAAAAAAUGUGUUUUCAGUAUUUGUUAUCACGUUUGGUAUUUCACUUCAUACUUUGCUGUAAGUCUGUCACUGCGAAACUACAAACUACUAAUGUUCAGAGUGAGAGGAUUUGGUUGUAUUUGUCUGGACGAAGAAUUUGUUGCAGUUCCACGUUGGAUAUGUUCUGCAAAAUUAUCCUGUUGCCACAUUUAAAAUAAAUCUUAACUAGUCUUGUUGCACGGGAAUUACACUUCAGCCGUUGCACUAGACUUCCGCGCAUUCACGGAUAUUAACUAUUAACAUCCCAAGUUGACUUUCUUGACAUGGGUGAGACAGUGUCUUUUGUAUUCGUGUUUGGCAUCCCAGAUGACGGUGUAAUCCUGACCUUAUAGUUCCAUAGAAUGUUUUGAGAAGUUGUUGCCUUCUGAGUUCUGAAUAAGAGCUUUUGGGCACAUUCUGCAAAACGCGCAACAAAUCAUAUAUAGAGGUCCCUGCUUGCAUUGCAUCCAGUACUGUGUAAAAAAAUUCGUAGCAAGCACUAUAUGUUUUGCUUAUGUUCUCCUAAGCAAAAACAGGGCAUAUGCUGAGACUGUCAAUCUGACAUCCUGUUAUUCCAAAGACCCCAGCUAGGUCAGAGUAGAUUUCGAAUUAUAGCGCUGGUCAACUUUUAGAGGUUGCAGUAUUCAGGAAUUGGCUUAAGAACAAAUACAAUUACCACCAACAUUCUAUUCACCAUCGGCAUUCUCAAAGACGCAGACAUACCUAUAACUUUUCAUUCCUAACCCAUUGAGACGUGCUACUGAUUCUCCCAACUUUUAGUACAAUAGGAACAUGUUUCCUGUUACUAUUUAAUUUGAAUUCGGGGACAAAGCUCUCACUGUCUGGAUCAAACUACUUAUAAAAGAAAAUUCUUGUGGAAUGGAACACAUGCUUGCCACUAGAAUGUGUUAAUAAUUACUUUCAUUUAAUGUAAUAAAUGAACCAGUCCACUUUACAUUAGUCCCACAACAGAGGCUUAGAGCUGCCUUAAAAUCAAUGAGCAGGUUAUAUUAACACAAUUGACACUGAUAUCCUUGGACCCCGCGAGAGGUUCAUCUACCAAUGAUUUUGGCAGAUCUCUAUCUUCUCCUCUCAGAUGCAGUACGGUAUGCUUUCUUGCAAACUUAGCAACGCUUCAGUGAACUCCCUCAUUUACUUACCACAAAGGAACAAAUGAAAAGCACACUCAAGCCAAAAUGUAAGAAAAGAAUAUGAACACCGGAUCAACAUGGAAUAUUCUUACAACCUUUUGGAUUAGUGGGGGAACAAAUUUCUCUUUACUUCUCUUUGUGUGGCAAUUGCAGGGAUACCAGAAGUAUACAGAGAAGUUCCUUGACCAAUGUAUUUCAGUAUUUGAGGACAUGGCGGCGCAGCCAAAGCUCAUACAUAACCAUAUGGAAUGCAUCAUACUUUAUGGGAGGUGUAUUCCAUUGGAAGUACUUCUGGACCUGAAUACAUUUCAAAAGAAGAGACAAGAGCCAAGUUUUAACAUGCAUAAAAAUCUUAAUGCAUAUUCUGAGUAAUUAUUAUAGAAUACCACUCAGAAUUUUUCUCUUGUUUCUAUUGUAUCAUUUUGAAACUACUUUCCCAUCCAAGCCAAACAUGAACAUGAGAAAAAGGAAGAAAAGAGAAAGGAAAAAGAAAAAGUGAAGUACGAAACUAAUAAGACUAUAGAUUAUCCUGAACUAGAAGCACAAAAUUAUAGUUAUUCUGUUGAACAUUUGUGUCAUUUUGGAUAGUUAUACCUUGACUAAAUUGGUAUGUAGCGCGACGACUUCCUCAUCAGGUAUCUCCUUUAGAAUGUACUUUAGCCGGUAGACAUCACUCUCCUUGAGUAUGACGGAGAACUUACGCCAAUUGAGGAUAUAGUUGAAUGGCAAGUCAUAGUAAUCAGACAAGAUAACUGCAAAAGAAAAAGGUAAAGUUCAGCUGCAAAGUUUACAGUAUAUGUGAAAUCAGAGAGGGGAAAACGUCAAAGCCAUAUGACAAAGAGGCGUUAGAUUCCUUCAUAAAUGGAACUUUUGUUUUAACACAUGGAAGUUGUGUCAUAGACAUAGCACGGAAGACCUAAUUGACCAUUUCACAUUCUCACCUCAUCCAUGUCGGGAGUUGUUGCCUAUUGCUUGCCAACACAUUGCAGAUUUUCUUUUUCUUCAAAGCCCCCCCCCCCCCCCAACUAAAUUAUAUUUUAUAAAAGUGAUAACUAAUAGCUAAUGCAGUCAUGCUCUAAAAGACAAGGAUUAAGUAACAAGAGAGGUAAGGUAAUCUGGACACACCUCAAAAUUGGUCCAAAUCAGCAUGCCCAGAGGAGAGGGGGGGGGGGGGAUACCAUUGGAACGAGGAAUCUGGAUAUGCAACCUAUGACACAAGCUUAGAAAUCCUUUCACAUGUUAUUUAGUAGCCUCUUAAUGGAUCACAGUCGUCCUGAUCCAGAUUUACAUUUUGGAUGGUCAGAACUGACCGGUGCAAGGGUCAUGUAAACUAGGCAGACUGAUAGAGAAAAUCAUAAAACGAAAAAGAACAAAUGCAGGGUGUGGACCUACAGAGAGUAUAGGGAAUAAUAGUAUAAAAAGGAAAGGUGAGGCAGGUGACACUGACACAAGGAGGAUUUGCCUAUGACACAUAAGUCAUAUGGGUGUGACCACUACUUCAUUUUUAGUUUUUGAUAUGUUUUGUGGUAAAUGUUUCCUACUUAAACUAGGAAGCCUUUUGAAUUUAGAGACAUUAGGUCUCUCCUAGUUCGUCAUUUUGGAUUAAAAGAGAUUGCUUCCUAUUCCCUGGUGAAGAGCCCUAAUUUAAGUACCAAGCGUUUUCCAAUUUUAAUUUUAUAUUAGUCUGCUUAUACUUAUUAUUAAGGUUUUGAACUUUUGAAGUAUCUUAUAAAAUAGUUAAUUGACUGCAAUUAUCUUUUGGGCAACUAGUAUAUUUUGGAAUCUGGAUUCCUUGAAAUAUUUGCAUCAUUAACAGAAUUGAAGAUAGUAAUAAAUAACAUAACAUAUGCGAGCAAAUGCACAUCAUUAUAGACAUAUUACAAAAGGAUGUGAGAGUAAUUUCUAACCAGGAACACAGCCAUAUGCGGUUCAAAAUGUUCAAUAUAAUAUUUAUCAUCUUACCUAAAAAUAUUAAGUUCAAAUUUGGGGGUAUACAAACGUUAAUUAGUCGAUUAAUGUAAUAAAUACAAUUUUAGGUGAAAUUAGGGAUUUUGGGGAUUUCCUAUAUAGAGGGGUUUAAUUAUCAAAUUGAUUAGUUCAAUAUAAUGUUUAUCAUCUUACAUAAAAAUAUGAAGUUCUGAUUUGGGGGUUUACAAAAGUUACUUAGUCGAUUAAUAUAAUACAUACAAUUUUAGGUGAAAUUGGGGAUUUUUAAUUUAAGGGAUUAUAAUUGUAAAAAUGUGUGAUUAUAAUGGCAAACCUCUACUAAAAAGUAGUCUAAAAACGAAAUUUUGCUACCAACAAAAUAAAUAUUUAACAACAAAAGAAUACCAUCAUUUGAUUAAAUUUCGGUAAGAUUGUACAUAGAAAAUAAAUAAAUAACGACAAAUUGAUAUCGUGAACCUAACCACUUUCGAUAGAUUCACACCAAUAUAAUAAAUAUUUUCGGCGUUGUUCCACCGAUAUUUUUUAAAAUAUUAGUAUAUUUCUGCCGUAAUUAAAAAAAAAAAAAAAAAAACCGAAAGUAAGAUAUUGGUUUCUGUCUUUAGAAAACUAUAUACGGUUUAAUAUCAAAUAAACCCGGUUUUUUGGGGUCUGUUGUUAGAAAACCGGGAGGUGCUUAUAUUAUAGCAUCACCCAUCUAUUUUCUCUUCUCUUCUCUACCUCCUCACUGCUAAAACCCUAGAGAUUUUUAAGAGGUUUUAUUACCAGUUGAAUAAACUAUGGAGGAGAUUCAUCAGGAAGAUUCAUCUAAGAACGAAAUUCUCAAAAAAUAAUUUUUAUUUUAAACUAAGCUGUGUUUAUAAGUUUAGUGUUUUUUUUUUUUUAAAUUUAAUUAAUGCUUUUGUUUUCAGAGAUACACCUCAAUUAGCUGCUGUAUUAAAAGAAAUGAAAGAAGUAUUAGAUACAGUAAGGAGUAAAGUGCAAAUUCUAACUUCCAAGGUGAGUUUCUUGAAAAUUCUGCUUUUUUGUGAUUUAAAGAUGAUUUUUUAUUUUAAUUUUGAAGGAAAUAAUAUGUGAGAAUAAUUUUUCAAUUAGGUAAAAGAAGACAAUUAUCUAACAACAGAUGGGAUCAGUUAUCUUGAGGCGAAGCAUUUGAUGUUAUUAAAUUAUUGUCAGUCAGUUGUUUACUAUGUGCUCAGAAAAACGAAAGGGUUUUCAGUUGAAGGGCACCCUGUGGUUCAAAGUCUCGUAGAGAUAAGAUUGUUUUUGGAGAAGGUAAGUAACCAUAGUUUUUUAUUUUGUGGUAAUUAGUGUCAUUAACAUUGGAUUAACUAGAUAGCUGUUUUCCCUUAGUACUAGAAUUGUUAUGAAAAGUGUUGUGAAAAGCUGGUAGAUGGUACUUGAUAGUUUCUCCGGAAUACAGGUUCGUCCUAUCGAUAAAAAACUUCACUACCAAAUUGACAAGCUCUUAAAGAUUGCUAAAAGUUCAGAGGAGAAAGUGCUAGAUGUCGAGAAGAAACCAAAAGCAUCUCAAAAGGCAAAGGAUGAUGCACGAAACUAUCGGCCAAACCCAGACAACAUGAUUAGCAUGUCAAUCAAUGAUCCAAUGGUUUGUCGAAUUAGCACAAUAUUUCAUUGUUAUCUUUUGAUCACUGUAAAUGAAAAUCUUAAUAAUCAUGUUUCUGGACUGUAGAAUGCUGAUAAUCUAUACCGAUCACCCGAAUUUGCGCCUACUACUGUGGAUGAUGAUAAGAUGUCCAAACAAGAAAAAAUGGCACUGAGAAAGGAUAAAUUAUUGGAUCGGAAGGCUAAGCAAAAUCCUUUUAUGAAAGAUUUCAUGGAUGACCUUGAAGGAAGGCCUGAAGAGGUUAGUCAUAGACUACUUUUGUGAAGCUAAUGCAACUGGUAUGGUUUAUAUUGUUUGUUUUGUAAUGGCCAAUUUUUGAUGCAGAUUGUAGAAUCUGUUGAGGCUGCGAGUAAAGAGCUUACUAAGUAUUUGUCAAAGAGAUGGAGCGACAAGAGGAGGAACAUUUUAUUCGUGCUCCACUUUCAAAGGUGGAAAAGAGGAGAGAAAAGCACUUGAAAAAAUCAAGGAAUGGUUAUGCACAUUAAGCAUUUUACUAUUUUUUUCCUUUUUCUUUUUGAUUAUUAUCUUGUGUGGUACAUUUGUUUUUGUUGCUAUAUAACAUGCCAAUAUUUUCGUAAACUAGAUUGAUGGUCUGACGGAUGGUUUUGAGGUUGAAGUCAGAGCGUUUGGGUUUGGGGAUGAUGAUAGUAAAGCAGGCUUCAACAUGUAACAAUCAUGAGUUGGUGUUACUCCCACAUUGCCAAGGAAGUGGUUGUAUUGGUAGUAUAUAGAGCUUAACCAUACUCUAACUAAUGUCAAGGCCUUUUGGGGUAAACCACAUGGAUGGGCCCUGAUCCAAAACCCUCUACUGCUGGAUAUCCGUAGUGACUAAAGAGGGACAAUAUUGACAUUAGCGAGCGGUAUGGUGCUCGACGCACCGGGAUGAGCGAGGACGAAAUCCCGGGGCGUUACACAACAAUUCUAACAGCAGAGGGAAAAAAUUUAAUAAGCACAACAAGGUAUGACCACAUUAAGCUUGACAAUUUAUUCACAUAAUGUUUGAGAUGACAAGGUUGCAUUUGUUCUCUAUGUCUUUUUUUUCUUUUUUUUGGUCUUCUUCAAAAAGGAAAUAAAGUGUAUGGUAGUCUUUAUUGAUGAAGGGGAGAUGAGUAUGCAAGAAAAGACACACAAUCCAUAGAGAGCUACUGGCAAUAUAUAAAUCAAACGUUAACUUUUUCGUUUCCCACACCCUCUAUUCAGUUUCUUAUUGUCACCAUUAACCAUCCAAAGCCAUCUAAAAAUGACAUGAAAAUUUGUUCGUAUAAGAUACAGUCACAUCGUUCAAGUUUAAUCAAAAUAUACUAGCAAGGGGAUUAAUAAAAAAAGUAAGGAAAUGUAUGGAUGUUUUCGGUUGGGAGAUGAGCUAUAUAUAGUGUGAGAACAAAUGAAGCAAGGCAUAUGCUUAUCUAUCUAAUGCUUCCCAAUGGUUUAGCUAAAACAAUUUAAUAAGCAUUUUUAGCUGUUUUUAAACGGUGAAUAAAGAUAUCGAAUUAAAUGGAGGAACAAGAGAUUUACUGUGGUGGUAUUCAGCUUAUACAUCAUUUCUCUAUUGAAGCAAGUGUUGUCAGAACAGUGGUAUGUUGACUAACACCAGUCGAAACAGCUUAAACGGACCAAGGUCCAAGUAGUCUAUAGUCUCUACGUCUGUUGGACAUUUUUUCACUUUUGUUUCUGUUUCCACAAAGUUGGUCCCUGAACUAUAUUAGAAAAGGUGUUUGAUACACCCAAGAAGGGCAAUGAGUGAGGGACGCAACCCAGUCUGAAAAACAAAAACAGGAAAAAGAAAAAUACAACCGAAGGUAAAAACCGAGUUUGUCCUUAUCCGUGAGUUGAUCCCAUUAACCAAGACCACUGUUUUGCCUUGGCCUUCAAAACCAUGGAGUCAGUUUUCAAGCUUUUAUUUUCAUAUAUGAUUUUGUUUCUAGAUUGUUUUACAACCCAAAAGAUACUAUUGUAACCAGUCCACAACCUCGCAUCAUUUGCAUCCCAUGACAUCAUUCACACCAAGCUGCUAGAAAUAGCAGUUGGGAAAUCCUUGACGGGAUUGAGUUUACAAAAGGAGUCAAGUCGCAGCACAAUAGUAGAUACAUUCAUCCAGGUUAAAGUGUUUCCAAACUUGCCUUAGCUACCUCAUUUCAUAUUCUUGGGGGUGUUCAUUCAUGACAUCAUUCACACCAAGCUGCUAGAAAUAGCAACUGGGAAAUCCUUGACGUGAUUGAGUUUACAAAAGGAGUCAAGUCGCAGCACUAUAGUAGAUGAAUUCAUCCAGGUUAAAGUGUUUCCAAACUUGCCUUAGCUACCUCAUUUCAUAUUCUUGGGGGUGUUCAUUCAUGACAAAUUGAAUUAUACUCGUAACUGUAAUCUGUUUCACGACAUCCCCUAUUCUCUGUUUGUAUGAUAUGUCACUAUUUCUGCCUCAUAUAUAUUAGUAUACCUUUACAAAUACAACUUCAAGUAUAUUAUUGUCCUUAUCAUAAGUUGUCUAUUUCCGGAAGAAACGCUAAUGGAAACAUAUAAGGCUAUGGUGGGUGCUGCGCAGCAGUUUUGGUUUUGAGUCGUUUGGAAAAGCAUACGGAGGAUAAAAGUUCCCUUUCUUCUGUUUAAUUUUUUCUUUGAGAAAUUGCAAGGAACUUAUUUCUUGUUAAUGACUAUGUAUGAGCAAACUACUGUAACCACAAUUUACACAAAUCAAAAUCAAUUCCGAAAAGGUAUUGGAGCUUACAGUCUCAGAUGGCGAUUUGCUCUUGGCACGGUCCUGUGUGUAAAAGGUCCCUGGUCAAAGCAUGAGUAGAAAAGGUGUCUUUGAAGUUUGAACAUUCUCGU